This 254-nucleotide ribosomal RNA is filed under the name uncultured bacterium. RNAcentral describes it as "partial 16S ribosomal RNA". It matches the Rfam family "Bacterial small subunit ribosomal RNA", at positions 524 to 776 of the family's 1533-position model. The record is from RNAcentral.
UACGAAGGGGGCUAGCGUUGCUCGGAAUGACUGGGCGUAAAGGGCGCGUAGGCGGCCUUCUAAGUCGAGACGUGAAAUCCCCCGGCUUAACCUGGGAACUGCGUCUGAUACUGGAGGGCUUGAGUAUGGGAGAGGGAUGUAGAAUUCCAGGUGUAGCGGUGAAAUGCGUAGAUAUCUGGAGGAAUACCGGUGGCGAAGGCGGCAUCCUGGACCAUUACUGACGCUGAGGCGCGAAAGCUAGGGGAGCAAACGGG